GGCCUCUUCUCAGGGUGGGCAGACAGUCCACAGACACCUCAGUCCACAAUGCCAUGACACAAAGAAAUAAAUUACAUGCGAGCUCGGACGUCGCCUCGUUAAACAAGCACCGAAAAGCUCUCGGCGUGAGAAGGGAGCAAACUACAUCCCCAACCAGAAGAAGAGUUCCCUCAACCUCUUGCAACUCAACAUCUGUGGUUUGAGGAACAAGAAAACAGAACUCCUCAAAGUACUGAAGGACAGGCAGAUUCAUGUUGCCCUCCUUCAAGAAACCCUACACAAAGGUACGGACCUGAACCUCACAGGAUACACCAGUUACGCCUGCACAUGCACAGGAUGCCGCGAUAUAGUCACUUACCUGCGAAAUGAUGUUCAGGGAGAUGUCGUACACUUAUCAUCUGCCCAACCGACAGAUAUCCAGAAGGCCACCAUAUGGCACAUUGGUAGGAAGUACACACUUUACAAUGUUUACAACCCCCCACAGACAACAUGCGACUUGUCUGAUCUGCAAGCAGCCAGCUACGAAAAAACCAUUUGUGCGGGCGACUUCAAUGGUCACUCUCCAGAAUGGGGCUACGUCAACUAUAACGGCACAGGCCGAAAGAUUGAGGAGCUGUGCGAAACCAGCAACCUAUCUGUAUUACAAGAUGUCAACUCAACUCCUACCUUACUUCACAGAGCCCACUGGACUCUCAGCCGGCCUGAUCUCACCAUCUGCUCAUCCGACAUUAAAAACUCAUGUCGCAUCGAAGUGAUUGAUGACAUAGGAAGUGAUCACAGGCCUAUCUUUAUACAGAUCACCUCCCCACCUGCAUUGAACCACCCUCGGAGAACUCGAUGGAACUUUAAGAAAGCCAACUGGGCAGAAUACGAAAAGGCCUCAGACGAAUUGCUCUCCAGCAUAGCAGAAACAGAAGAUGCUGAUCUUUUUAAUGAACAAGUCACCGAAAAUAUUCUGAAAGCUGCAUCUCAGCACAUUCCAAGGGGAUGCCGAAGAAAUUUCAAACCCUUUUGGAGUGAAGAAAUCCAAACUGCUGUGGCAGAAAUAGAGAAAGCUAGACAGUCAUUGGAAAAAUCACCAUCAACAAUAAACAAAAUACACUACAACAAGACCUGCGCUCAGGUGAAAGUGACAGUUAAAAAAAAGCCAAAAAAGAGAAAUGGACUCAAACCUGCAAAGAUCUCGACCUCCGCCACAAUGGAACAAAGACUUGGUCCCUUGUUAGCAACCUCUCGGGAGAAAGACAAAAAAGCAACCCCAAACCCUUUUUCCUUUCAGGCAGCACCAUCACUGAAGACCAGAAGAAAGCCAAACAUUUUAACCGUUUUUUCGCCUCUGUACUCUGUAAACAGGGCAGGCAGACUAACUGAGGCUGAUUGACUUCUCAUUAAUAGGGCUAAGCAUAAAGAAAAAGCUCCUACUGUGAACAACUCGCUUGUUGAAGAGGAUUAUAGCAUGGUGGGACUCAGUCAGGCCCUCAAAAAGCUAAAGGAAAA
Long non-coding RNA from Aplysia californica (California sea hare), 1497 nucleotides. RefSeq lists it as uncharacterized. The transcript is spliced from 2 exons. The record is from RefSeq and is a predicted model, not a curated record. NCBI's taxonomy places the organism in Eukaryota, Metazoa, Mollusca, Gastropoda, Aplysiida, Aplysiidae.